AACAGCCCUAUUACGUUCAACGUGAGAGGGAUGGUGACCUUCAGUGAAAGAUAGGCCUAUCAAAGGACACCAAACCUUUGAAGCAGAAGACUUUAUAUUAGCCAUUAUGAAGGACAGAUCUAACGUAAACUGCACAAUGUGGCGGAUCAAAUGUUUGCUGUGCUCUGGAUUUGAUCUUCAAAUCUUGUGCUUUGAACCAUGUGAGAAGGUGAAUUUUGCUCCUCGUCUUCAACUUCUGAAAGCAGCCGUGUCUUUUUCUCUACGACCCAAUCCCAAUCUUCUCUUAUCUAUCUAUAUUUAUUAUUUCAGCAUAACUCUGGAACACCUUGGGCAAUUUCAACCAAACUUGGUACACAGAUUACUACUUAUUCUCUGGAAACAAAUAUUGUGGGGGUAAGAUACCCCUAACACCUCUCAGGGUGUGUGUUCUUAUCGGGUGGCCUUCA
Non-coding RNA from Pseudonaja textilis, 446 nucleotides. Lineage: Eukaryota; Metazoa; Chordata; Lepidosauria; Squamata; Elapidae. The record is from RefSeq and is a predicted model, not a curated record.